RNAcentral lists this long non-coding RNA (1634 nucleotides) under Physcomitrium patens. Its description in RNAcentral is "long non-coding RNA (PPAT_LNC001863)". The record is from RNAcentral. Lineage: Eukaryota; Viridiplantae; Streptophyta; Bryopsida; Funariales; Funariaceae.
AUUAGGAUUUUAUUUAGGAUUUAGGAUUUGAUUAAGAUUUGAUUUAGGAUUUAGGAUUUGGUUAAGGUUUGAUUUAGAAUUUAGGAUUUGGAUUAGGAUUUGGUUUAGGGUUUAGGAUUUGGAUUACGAAUUUAUUAAGAUUUGAUUUAGGGUUUAGGAUUUGGUAUAGGAUUUGGUUAGGAUUUGGUUUAGGAUUUGGCUUAGGUUUGAUUCAGGGUUUAGGAUUUUAUUAGGAUUUAAGAUUCAAUUAGUUUUGGCCUAAAAUUUGAAUGAAGUUCAAUAGGAUUUUAACUAGAAUUAAAUUAAGAUUGAAUUGAGAUGUAUUUCAGUGAUAUUUGUGAUCUUUUUAAUAUUUUUUUAAGAAUUCUUAUUGUUUGUUUGAAUCUCUUUGAGAUUUUUUUGAAUUUGAUUAAGCUUGCUUAGAAUUAUUAUGGUCUAAUUAUAGCAUUGUUAGUAUUCUAUUAGAAUUAAGAUUUUGUUAUUACAAUUUCCAUUCUACCUUCCAUAGCCAGGUGCCCGGAGCAUUCUCAAGUAAGACUUCACGUAUCAUGAUAGCGGAGGAUGCAUAUGUUUAGAGGGGGAGGAUGUCGUGUUGUGAUUUGGCUAUUGUAUGAAAAUAAUGUAAUUAUAUACUUAAUAUAUAAUUUAUUAAGUAACAUGGUGAGAGCCAUGUUAUUAGAUUUUAAUUGGUUGUAAAAUAUAAUUUGAUUAUUACCUUGAGAAAAAGUUAUUUAAAAAGAUUAUUAUAGAAUUUAUAUAGCUUUAAUUUCUUAUUGAUAGUGACUUUUAAGAUUGGUUUUGGUUGAUAGUAACUUCUAAAUAUUUAGAGUAAUUUUUAUUAGACAUUAGUGACUUUUGAAAAUUUAUUAUGGUUCUAUUAUUUAGUGUUUAGAGCAUAAAUUAUAUAAAUCUUAUAAGAAAAAGGAUUGAAGAAGGGUUUUGGUAGCAAAGUGAGUAACUAGGGCACUAAUAUAGAUGAAUGGAGGUGGAUGAUGGAAAUCUCCAAUCCUAUUAGUCAAAAGUCAUGACUAAUAGGCUUUGAGGAGGCUACCCGAGGCCAUAUUAGAAAUUAAGGUUAGUUUUUUGCAGCCAUUUGAGCUUUAAAGGCUAAGGUCAACAAGUUUAGGUUUCUAACUAUGGUUUUGGUGCAAGUUUUUUGUGAUUUAGAGUUUAUAUAAAGGAGAUAUAGUUGCUCAAAGUUAAGGUGUUGAUUUGGGAGCUACUGUCACUCUUUUUGGCAUAACGCAAGCAAACAGAUAGUAAUUGAGAAUCGGCGACUGCAACUGAAGAGAGCACUUUUACAACUAUACUUUUUGCUUACUGCUUGCUGGUUUUCAAGUUGAAGUGAAAGAGUUAUUUGAUUUUGAAAUCAGCACAUGUAAUCUAAGAGUAGUAAUUGGCCCGAUUUAUUAGUGGUUGUGUCUUGAGUUAUAUCUUAAGCAAUUUGAUAAGGUUUUGGCUCAAAAUUUCAGAGAAUUUAUAAAUAUAUGUAAGUAAACUUUAAAAAUAAGUUUGAUGACAUUUGAAUAUUGGAUUCUUGAGAUAUUAAGAAAAUAGUGCUCAAAUGAUUAUAAGUUAGGGUUUAGAGCAUCUGCUAGGGUUUCUUAGAUGCUUGAAGAUCGAGAGUGAAUUUG